UAAGCGGAGGAAAAGAAACUAACAAGGAUUCCCCUAGUAACUGCGAGUGAAGCGGGAAAAGCUCAAAUUUAAAAUCUGGUGGUCUUUGGCCAUCCGAGUUGUAAUUUAGAGAAGCGUCUUCCGCGCUGGGCCGUGCACAAGUCUCCUGGAAUGGAGCGUCACAGAGGGUGAGAAUCCCGUCUUUGGCAUGGACACACCAGGGCUUUUGUGAUGCGCUCUCGAAGAGUCGAGUUGUUUGGGAAUGCAGCUCAAAAUGGGUGGUGAACUCCAUCUAAAGCUAAAUAUUGGCGAGAGACCGAUAGCGAACAAGUACCGUGAGGGAAAGAUGGAAAGCACUUUGGAAAGAGAGUGAAACAGUACGUGAAAUUGUUGAAAGGGAAACGCUUGAAGUCAGUCGCGUCGACCGAGACUCAGCCUUGCCUUGGCCUGGUGUACUUCUCGGCCGACGGGUCAGCAUCAAUUUUGCCCCUUGGAUAAUGAUGAGGGAAACGUGACACCUUUAUGGUGUGUUAUAGUCUCUUGUCGCAUGCAAGGGUCGGGAUUGAGGAACUCAGCACGCACCUUUGGGUGUCGGGGCUUUGCCCACGAUACGUGCUUAGGAUGUUGGCGUAAUGGCUUUAAACGACC
Molecule: ribosomal RNA, 627 nt
Filed under: uncultured Russulaceae
Lineage: Eukaryota; Fungi; Basidiomycota; Agaricomycetes; Russulales; Russulaceae
Description: LSU rRNA
Rfam family: Eukaryotic large subunit ribosomal RNA
Source: RNAcentral